Molecule: ribosomal RNA, 708 nt
Filed under: uncultured bacterium
Lineage: Bacteria
Description: bacterial SSU rRNA
Rfam family: Bacterial small subunit ribosomal RNA
Source: RNAcentral
AGCGGCGGACGGGUGAGUAACGCGUGGGUAACCUGGCCUAUACACACGGAUAACAUACCGAAAGGUAUGCUAAUACGAGAUAAUAUAAGAGAUUCACAUGUAUUUCUUAUCAAAGCUGAGGCGGUAUAGGAUGGACCCGCGUCUGAUUAGCUAGUUGGUAAGGUAACGGCUUACCAGGGCGACGAUCAGUAGCCGACCUGAGAGGGUGAUCGGCCACAUUGGAACUGAGACACGGUCCAAACUCCUACGGGAGGCAGCAGUGGGGAAUAUUGCACAAUGGGCGAAAGCCUGAUGCAGCAACGCCGCGUGAGUGAUGAAGGCCUUCGGGUCGUAAAACUCUGUCCUCAAGGAAGAUAAUGACGGUACUUGAGGAGGAAGCCCCGGCUAACUACGUGCCAGCAGCCGCGGUAAUACGUAGGGGGCUAGCGUUAUCCGGAUUUACUGGGCGUAAAGGGUGCGUAGGUGGUCUCUUAAGUCAGGAGUGAAAGGCUACGGCUUAACCGUAGUAAGCUCUUGAAACUGGGAGACUUGAGUGCAGGAGAGGAAAGUGGAAUUCCUAGUGUAGCGGUGAAAUGCGUAGAUAUUAGGAGGAACACCAGUAGCGAACGCGGCUUUCUGGACUGUAACUGACACUGAGGCACGAAAGCGUGGGGAGCAAACAGGAUUAGAUACCCUGGUAGUCCACGCCGUAACGAUGAGUACUAGUGU